ACGACUCUCGGCAACGGAUAUCUCGGCUCAUGCAUCGAUGAAGAACGUAGCAAAAUGCGAUACUUGGUGUGAAUUGCAGAAUCCCGUGAACCAUCGAGUUUUUGAACGCAAGUUGCGCCCGAAGCCAUUCGGCUGAGGGCACGUCUGCCUGGGCGUCACGC
RNAcentral lists this ribosomal RNA (161 nucleotides) under Centaurea sulphurea. RNAcentral's name for it is "5.8S ribosomal RNA". It matches the Rfam family "5.8S ribosomal RNA". From Rfam's summary of the family: 5.8S ribosomal RNA (5.8S rRNA) is a component of the large subunit of the eukaryotic ribosome. It is transcribed by RNA polymerase I as part of the 45S precursor that also contains 18S and 28S rRNA. Lineage: Eukaryota; Viridiplantae; Streptophyta; Magnoliopsida; Asterales; Asteraceae. The record is from RNAcentral.